UCCUACGGGAGGCAGCAGUAGGGAAUCUUCCACAAUGGGCGAAAGCCUGAUGGAGCAACGCCGCGUGAGUGAAGAAGGAUUUCGGUUCGUAAAACUCUGUUGUAAGGGAAGAACAAGUACCAGUAGUAACCUGGCUGUACCUUGACGGUACCUAUAGA
Molecule: ribosomal RNA, 158 nt
Filed under: sludge granule bacterium 2
Lineage: Bacteria
Description: partial 16S ribosomal RNA
Rfam family: Bacterial small subunit ribosomal RNA
Source: RNAcentral